RNAcentral lists this ribosomal RNA (253 nucleotides) under uncultured bacterium. RNAcentral's name for it is "partial 16S ribosomal RNA". It matches the Rfam family "Bacterial small subunit ribosomal RNA", at positions 524 to 776 of the family's 1533-position model. The record is from RNAcentral.
UACGGAGGUUGCACGCGUUGUUCGGAAUCAUUGGGCGUAAAGCGCGUGUAGGCGGCCUGGUAAGUCGGGUGUGAAAUCCCGGGGCUCAACCCCGGAACUGCACUCGAAACUACCUCGCUAGAGUCUCGGAGAGGAAGGCGGAAUUCCCGGUGUAGAGGUGAAAUUCGUAGAUAUCGGGAGGAACACCAGCGGCGAAGGCGGCCUUCUGGACGGUGACUGACGCUGAGACGCGAAAGCGUGGGGAGCAAACAGG